AAGGAUCAUUAUUGAAUUGUUAAAAAUGGGGCAAGACGCUUUCGAGCUCUUCCUCUACAUUCUUUAUUCCUAACACCUGUGAAUCGUUGCUGAGUUCGCUCAGUGGCACCUUUUUUACACACACACUUUAUAGUUUAGAACGUAAAAACAUAAAAUAAAAAUACAACUUUUGACAACGGAUCUCUUGGUUCUCCCAUCGAUGAAGAACGCAGCGAAAUGCGAUAAGUAAUGUGAAUUGCAGAAUUCAGUGAAUCAUCGAAUCUUUGAACGCACCUUGCGCUCCUUGGUAUUCCUUGGAGCAUGCCUGUUUGAGAGUCUUGAAUAUCUCUGCUUUUGCCUUUUUUAACGAAAAGGUAACAAGUCAGGUCCUUGGGUCUGCUUGCGGUUUGUUACGAACACAAGCUUACCUUAAAUGAAUUAGCUGGACUUCAGCAGAGUUGUUAAGUAACAUUGAAAACUCUCGUAAUAUGAAGUCUGCUCUCUAAUCAUUCUCUUUCGAGAGAAUAUUUUCUAUUUUGGCCUCAAAUCAGGUAGGACUACCCGCUGAACUUAA
This 553-nucleotide ribosomal RNA is filed under the name Exobasidium maculosum. RNAcentral describes it as "eukaryotic LSU rRNA". The stretch from base 165 to 318 matches the Rfam family "5.8S ribosomal RNA". The record is from RNAcentral. Lineage: Eukaryota; Fungi; Basidiomycota; Exobasidiomycetes; Exobasidiales; Exobasidiaceae.